AAUAUGGCACAAUGGAGGGAACUCUGAUGCAGCAACGCCGCGUGAGUGAAGAAGGAUUUCGGAUCGUAAAACUCUGUCAUUGGGGAAGAAUAAAUGACGGUACCCAAUGAGGAAGCUUCGGCAAACCACGUGCCAGCAGCCGCGGUAAUACGUAGGGGGCGAGCGUUGUCCGGAAUUACUGGGCGUAAAGGGUGCGUAGGCGGCCUUUUAAGUCAGGUGUGAAAGCCCACGGCUUAACCGUGGGAUUGCAUUUGAAACUGGAAGGCUUGAGUAUCGGAGAGGGUAGUGGAAUUCCCAGUGUAGCGGUGGAAUGCGUAGAUAUUGGGAGGAACACCAGUGGCGAAGGCGACUACCUGGACGAAAACUGACGCUGAGGCACGAAAGCUAGGGGAGCAAACA
This 399-nucleotide ribosomal RNA is filed under the name uncultured bacterium. RNAcentral's name for it is "partial 16S ribosomal RNA". It matches the Rfam family "Bacterial small subunit ribosomal RNA", at positions 360 to 774 of the family's 1533-position model. The record is from RNAcentral.